Molecule: ribosomal RNA, 1798 nt
Filed under: Pinus taeda (loblolly pine)
Lineage: Eukaryota; Viridiplantae; Streptophyta; Pinopsida; Pinales; Pinaceae
Description: SSU rRNA
Rfam family: Eukaryotic small subunit ribosomal RNA
Source: RNAcentral
CCUGGUUGAUUCUGCCAGUAGUCAUAUGCUUGUCUCAAAGAUUAAGCCAUGCAUGUCUAAGUAUGAACUAAUUUAGACUGUGAAACUGCGGAUGGCUCAUUAAAUCAGUUAUAGUUUUUUCGAUGGUACCAUACUACUCGGAUAACCGUAGUAAUUCUAGAGCUAAUAUGUGCACCAAAUCUCGACCCUUUGGAAGGGAUGCAUUUUUUAGAUAAAAGGUCAUUGCGGGCUUGCCCGCUUCUCUGGUGAAUCAUGAUAACUUGACAGAUCGCACAGCCCUUGUGCUGGUGAUGCUUCAUUCAAAUUUCUACCCUAUCAACUUUUGAUGGUAGGAUAGAGGCCUACCAUGGUGGUGAUGGGUGAUGCAGAAUUAGGGUUCGAUUCUGGAGAGGGAGACUGAGAAAUGGCUAUCACAUCCAAGGAAGGCAGCAGGCGCACAAAUUACCCAAUCCUCACAAGGGGAGGUAGUGACAAUAAAUAACAAUGUUGGGCUCGUCGAGUUUGGUAAUUGGAAUGAGUGCAAUAUAAAUCGCUUAACGAGGGUCCAUUGGAGGGAAAGUCUAGUGCCAACAGCCAUGGUAAUUCCAGCUCCAAUAGCAUAUAUUUAAGUUGUUGUAGUUAAAAAGCUCAUAGUUGGAUCUUGGGUCAUAAAGGUCAGUGCGCCUACUCGGUGUGCACCUGCUCUUCUGUCCCUUUUGUCGGCAGCGUGCUCCUAGCCUUAAUUGGCUGGGUCAUGGCUCUAGCACUGUUACUUUGAAAAAAUUAAAGUGGUCAAAGCAAGCUUAUGCUCUGAAUACAUUAGCAUGGAAUAACGUGAUAGGAGUCUGGUCCUAUUGUGUUGGCCUUCAAGACCAGAGUAAUGAUUAAUAGGGACUGUCAGUGGCAUUCGUCUUUCAUUGUUAGAGGUGAAAUUAUUGGAUUUAUGAAAGAUGAACCACUGCAAUAGUAUUUGCCAAGGAUGUUUUCAUUAAUCAAGAAUGAAAGUUGGGGACUCGAAGACAAUCAGAUACCGUCCUAGUCUCAACUAUAAACGAUGCCGAACAAGGAUUGACGAAUGUUGCUCUAAGGACUCCACUAGCACCUUCUGAGAAAUCAGAGUGUUUAGGUUCCGGGGGGAGUAUGGUCACAAGGCUGAAACUUAAAGGAAUUGAUGAAAGGGCACCACCAAGAGUGGAACCUGCGGCUUAAUUUGACUCAACAUGGGGAAACUUACUAGGUCGAGAAAUAGUAAGGAUUGAAAGAUUGAGAGCUCUUUCUUGAUUCUAUGGGUGGUGGUGCAUGGUCAUUCUUGGUGAAGUGAUUUGUCAGUUAAUUUUGAUAACGAACGAGACCUCAACCUACUAACUAGCUAUGGGGAGGUUCCCUUUUGCGGCUAGCUUCUUAGAGGGACUAUUGCCAUUUAGUCCAUGGAAGUUUGAGGUAAUAACAUGUUUGUGAUGCCCUUAGAUUUUCUGGGCCACACGCGCGCUACACUGAUGCAACCAUCGAGUUUUUCUUCCUGGUUCGAGAGGAUCGGGAAAUCUUCUCAAAUUACAUCAUGAUGGGGAUAGACCAUUGCAAUUAUUGGUCUUCAAUGAGGAAUUCCUAGUAAGCGUGUGUAAUCAACUCGUGUUGACUACGUCCCUGCCCUUUGUACACACCACCCAUCACUUCUACCAAUUGAAUGAUCCGGUAAAGUGUUUGGAUUGUGUCGACGAUGGUGGUUCGCCACCGUCGACGUUGUGAGAAGUUCAUUGAACUUUAUCAUUUAGAGGAAGGAGAAGUCGUAACAAGGUUAAUGUAUGUGAACCUGCAAUAG